This 333-nucleotide ribosomal RNA is filed under the name uncultured bacterium. RNAcentral describes it as "partial 16S ribosomal RNA". It matches the Rfam family "Bacterial small subunit ribosomal RNA", at positions 338 to 668 of the family's 1533-position model. The record is from RNAcentral.
CCUACGGGAUGCAGCAGUGAGGAAUAUUGGUCAAUGGACGAGAGUCUGAACCAGCCAAGUAGCGUGAAGGCUGACUGCCCUAUGCGUUGUAAACUUCUUUUAUAUGGGAAUAAAAUGUUCCACGUGUGGGAUUUUGUAUGUACCAUAUGAAUAUGGAUCGGCUAACUCCGUGCCAGCAGCCGCGGUAAUACGGAGGUUACGAGCGUUACCCGGAUUUAUUGGGUUUAAAGGGAGCGUAGGUGGAUUGUUAAGUCAGUUGUGAAAGUAUGCGGUUCAACCGUAAAAUUGCAGUUGAAACUGGCAGUCUUGAGUACAGUAGAGGUGGGCGGAAGU